GGAAGUAAAAGUCGUAACAAGGUUUCCGUAGGUGAACCUGCGGAAGGAUCAUUACUGAUUUGGCGGACCGAGCGUCAGCGAGGUUCCGCGAUCACCUGUAUUUAAAACCCACACUUUUGAAUUAUAUGUAUAUUUUUGUAUUUUUGAUAAAAAAAAGAUCACUUUCAACAACGGAUCUCUUGGCUCUCGCAUCGAUGAAGAACGUAGCGAAGUGCGAUAAGUAAUGUGAAUUGCAGUAUUCCGUGAAUCAUCGAAUCUUUGAACGCAUAUUGCACUUUCUGGUAUUCCGGAAAGUAUGCCUGUUUGAGGGUCAGUUAAAUAAAAAUCGGUGUUGUUGCUGCCUUUCGUGGUGACGCGUCGGAAUUGAGUUGUCUUACCCUUCGGUUAAGUGACUUAAAAUUUUGCAUGAUUUUCGAACGUAUUUAAAUUGCUUACGUACGUUUGAGAUAUCGAAUACUUUUAUUAGGUUCGGUCAUCCUCAUGACUCGCGCCUAUAAUUUUUCAUUAAAUGACCUCAAAUCAGGUAAGAAUACCCGCUGAACUUAAGCAUAUCAAUAAGCGGAGGA
This 566-nucleotide ribosomal RNA is filed under the name uncultured Glomus. Its description in RNAcentral is "eukaryotic LSU rRNA". The stretch from base 160 to 313 matches the Rfam family "5.8S ribosomal RNA". The record is from RNAcentral. Lineage: Eukaryota; Fungi; Glomeromycota; Glomeromycetes; Glomerales; Glomeraceae.